RNAcentral lists this ribosomal RNA (253 nucleotides) under uncultured bacterium. Its description in RNAcentral is "partial 16S ribosomal RNA". It matches the Rfam family "Bacterial small subunit ribosomal RNA", at positions 524 to 776 of the family's 1533-position model. The record is from RNAcentral.
UACGUAGGGUGCAAGCGUUGUCCGGAAUUAUUGGGCGUAAAGAGCUCGUAGGCGGUUUGUCGCGUCUGCUGUGAAAACUCAGGGCUUAACCCUGAGCCUGCAGUGGGUACGGGCAGACUAGAGUGUGGUAGGGGAGAUCGGAAUUCCUGGUGUAGCGGUGGAAUGCGCAGAUAUCAGGGGGAACACCGGUGGCGAAGGCGGAUCUCUGGGCCAUAACUGACGCUGAGGAGCGAAAGCAUGGGGAGCGAACAGG